AAUCAACGCUGGCGGCGUGCCUAACACAUGCAAGUCGAGCGCGAAAGCGGGGCAACUCGCAAGUAGAGCGGCGAACGGGUGAGUAACACGUGGGUGAUCUGCCUCCGAGUGGGGAACAACAGCGGGAAACUGCUGCUAAUACCGCAUGACAUCUUCGGGUCACAGCGAAGAUCAAAGCCGGGGACCGCAAGGCCUGGCGCUUGGAGAGGAG
RNAcentral lists this ribosomal RNA (211 nucleotides) under uncultured bacterium. RNAcentral's name for it is "partial 16S ribosomal RNA". It matches the Rfam family "Bacterial small subunit ribosomal RNA", at positions 32 to 229 of the family's 1533-position model. The record is from RNAcentral.